GGACUCAAAACGUCUAAUUUGAAAGAGUUACACUGAUCGCACAUCCAUAUUCGUGGCACGAUUUUGCCACGCGCCGCGCAUGUGUGCCGCGCCUUACUCGGCCACCACAACGUUUAUGUCGCAUAAACGAGCUAAGUUUACAAACGGCGCCUGCGCAGAUCGCACGUUAGCACGUUAACAGCCGCGCUUCGUGACAGACACCUGACAAAUGUGAAGAAUCAACAAAGUUGUGUGAUAACAUGAAGGUGGCAAAUAGUGGAAUUGUUUCGAGUUAGCCGAAAGUGAUUGUCACGUGAAUUAUUUAAUUCUUUCAUUUAAUUUUUUAACGUAACUGGAAGUUUUCACCGGCUUGGAACUAUUGUUAUAAAUAUACGGUGGCUGUAUUUGCACAAAUGUGGACCUACUCGAGUGUGGACAUCCCGGGCUCUCGUAUGAGCCGUACAGACAGAAUAAAAAUCUACUUGUCGGAGUGUGUCGUGUGUUUUUGCAUAGUGUUCUUUAUAAUCUGUGUGGGGUUACUGUUGUACUUGUUUUUCCAUCUGUACAGUACUGUGACGAGUGCGGGGAAACUCGCGGGCUCAUUGGUAGCUGAGAGCUAGUGUUUACACUUUGCAGCCUAGAUCCUUCUAUUGAUGUUAAUGUGUUUAGACAUGUGA
This is a long non-coding RNA of Ostrinia furnacalis (Asian corn borer), 656 nucleotides long. RefSeq lists it as uncharacterized. The record is from RefSeq and is a predicted model, not a curated record. NCBI's taxonomy places the organism in Eukaryota, Metazoa, Arthropoda, Insecta, Lepidoptera, Crambidae. The transcript is spliced from 2 exons.